UGUGCUUGACUAUUUUGAGGCACUGACCUGU
Molecule: non-coding RNA, 31 nt
Filed under: Mus musculus (house mouse)
Lineage: Eukaryota; Metazoa; Chordata; Mammalia; Rodentia; Muridae
Source: RNAcentral